GUCGCACGAGAAAGGGUAGCAAUACCUGAGUAAAGUGGCGCACGGGUGAGUAACACGUGAAUUAUCUACCUCCGAGUGGGGAAUAACUGAGAGAAAUCUUAGCUAAUACCGCAUAACACUUACGAGUCAAAGCAGCAAUGCGCUUGGAGAGGAGUUCGCGGCCGAUUAGUUAGUUGGCGGGGUAAUGGCCCACCAAGACGAUGAUCGGUAUCCGGCCUGAGAGGGCGCACGGACACACUGGAACUGAAACACGGUCCAGACUCCUACGGGAGGCAGCAGUGGGGAAUUUUGCGCAAUGGGGGAAACCCUGACGCAGCAACGCCGCGUGGAGGAUGAAAUAUCUUGGUAUGUAAACUCCUUUCGAUGGGGAAGAUUAUGACGGUACCCAUAGAAGAAGCCCCGGCUAACUUCGUGCCAGCAGCCGCGGUAAUACGAGGGGGGCAAGCGUUGUUCGGAUUUAUUGGGCGUAAAGGGUGCGUAGGCGGUUUGGCAAGUCUUAUGUGAAAUCUUCGGGCUCAACCCGAAGCCUGCAUAAGAAACUGCCGGGCUUGAGUAUGGGAGAGGUGAGUGGAAUUUCCGGUGUAGCGGUGAAAUGCGUAGAUAUCGGAAGGAACACCUGUGGCGAAAGCGGCUCACUGGACCAUAACUGACGCUGAGGCACGAAAGCUAGGGGAGCAAACGGGAUUAGAUACCCUGGUAGUCCUAGCCCUAAACGAUGAUUGCUUGGUGUGGCA
Molecule: ribosomal RNA, 734 nt
Filed under: uncultured Acidobacteriota bacterium
Lineage: Bacteria; Pseudomonadati; Acidobacteriota
Description: bacterial SSU rRNA
Rfam family: Bacterial small subunit ribosomal RNA
Source: RNAcentral